UCUCCGUAGGUGAACCUGCGGAGGGAUCAUUACAGAGUUCAUGCCCUCACGGGUAGAUCUCCCACCCUUGUGUAUUCAUACCUUUGUUGCUUUGGCAGGCCGCUGGGCUUCGGCCUGGCCACCGGCUCCCGGGCUGGUGCGUGCCUGCCAGGGGUCCUCCAAACUCUGUUUGUCAGUGUCGUCUGAGUAUUAUACAAUCGUUAAAACUUUCAACAACGGAUCUCUUGGUUCUG
RNAcentral lists this unclassified non-coding RNA (233 nucleotides) under plant metagenome. Its description in RNAcentral is "partial contains small subunit ribosomal RNA, internal transcribed spacer 1, and 5.8S ribosomal RNA". The record is from RNAcentral.